RNAcentral lists this transfer RNA (48 nucleotides) under Felis silvestris cafra (Southern African wildcat). Its description in RNAcentral is "tRNA-Gln". The record is from RNAcentral. Lineage: Eukaryota; Metazoa; Chordata; Mammalia; Carnivora; Felidae.
CAUGACUAAUGAUAUGAAAAACCAUCGUUGUAUUUCAACUAUAAGAAC